GGAAGUAAAAGUCGUAACAAGGUUUCCGUAGGUGAACCUGCGGAAGGAUCAUUCAUGUUUGCCCCUCUGGGGUUUAAAUAUCAACCACACUGUGAACCGUGGCUUCGGCCCAAACUUGACGUCUUGAAUGUAUUUACCAUAAACAAUACAACUUUCAACAACGGAUCUCUUGGCUCUCGCAUCGAUGAAGAACGCAGCGAAAUGCGAUAAGUAAUGUGAAUUGCAGAAUUCAGUGAAUCAUCGAAUCUUUGAACGCACCUUGCGCCCUCUGGUAUUCCGGAGGGCAUGCCUGUUUGAGUGUCAUGAACACCUCACCCCCUCGGGUUUUUUGCCCGACUGUGGUGGACUUGGGCGCUGCCAGCCAUGGCUCGCCUCAAAUGCAUUAGCAGUCUCUGACGUGAUGAGUUUCGUCUGUCGGCUGCUCCUAAUCUCCUUCGGGAUGUGCCUCUCGGUGCAACUUCAUGAACUGGCCUCAAAUCAGGUAGGACUACCCGCUGAACUUAAGCAUAUCAAUAAGCGGAGGAA
Molecule: ribosomal RNA, 525 nt
Filed under: Tremellales sp. LH28
Lineage: Eukaryota; Fungi; Basidiomycota; Tremellomycetes; Tremellales
Description: eukaryotic LSU rRNA
Rfam family: 5.8S ribosomal RNA (bases 150-303)
Source: RNAcentral